ACUGGAGGCAGCAGUGGGGAAUAUUGCACAAUGGGCGCAAGCCUGAUGCAGCCAUGCCGCGUGUAUGAAGAAGGCCUUCGGGUUGUAAAGUACUUUCAGCGGGGAGGAAGGGAGUAAAGUUAAUACCUUUGCUCAUUGACGUUACCCGCAGAAGAAGCACCGGCUAACUCCGUG
Molecule: ribosomal RNA, 174 nt
Filed under: uncultured bacterium
Lineage: Bacteria
Description: partial 16S ribosomal RNA
Rfam family: Bacterial small subunit ribosomal RNA
Source: RNAcentral